UGUUCAGUAGUUUAAUGUACCGAACCAAUAAAUCGCAAAUAAAUAAAUACAGUGGAAAGUCACAAAUAAGUCUAUUUUGUUCACUAGAUUGGGACAUAUAAAAAAAACACAACUCUGUUCCGCAGAGUAGCUGUUGACAUUAUAUUUGUGCAGGCACUUUGUUGACUCUAGAGAACCUCGGGCCAAUUGCACAUCCCCGUGACGGCGACUUUGCAUUCGGAUGUCAUCCAUAUCAACUUUCGAUGCCAGUUUCUGCGCCUACCAUGGGGACCACGGGUAACAGGGAAUCAGGGUUCCAUUCCAUACAGGGACCCUGAGAAAUGGCUACCACAUGCAAGGAAGGCAGCAGGCGCGCAAAUGACCCACUCCCGACGCGUGAAGGUAGUGGCGACAAAUAACAAUACAGGACUCUUUAGAGUCCCUGUAAUUGUAAUGAGUCCACUUGAAAUCCUUUAACUCACU
Molecule: non-coding RNA, 462 nt
Organism: Pelobates cultripes (western spadefoot toad)
Lineage: Eukaryota; Metazoa; Chordata; Amphibia; Anura; Pelobatidae
Source: the annotation of a GenBank genome assembly